Molecule: long non-coding RNA, 224 nt
Filed under: Elaeis guineensis (African oil palm)
Lineage: Eukaryota; Viridiplantae; Streptophyta; Magnoliopsida; Arecales; Arecaceae
Description: long non-coding RNA (EGUI_LNC059780)
Source: RNAcentral
AAUGCCCUCACCGGUUGUCCCCGUUAUUAAACCCUUGUUGUUAAAAGAAUUCUCCCUCGAGCCCCCUUUAAGGCGAUGGGAACCCUCAGUGACAGUUUGACAACCGGAGAACUCGCAGGCCGCCAUUCUCCUCCUCACACUCUUCCUGGUCUGUGGCAUCCUCUUAAGGUUGGCCUCCGGGGCGGAGGCCCCGGUGGGAGAACCCCUCGGAGAGAUGCGGGGGA